ACUUAUUUAAGGAACAUAUGUAAUUGUUUUGGGUUACAAAUUAUAAACAACUUCAAGUCUUAAUUAAUUCACAAGUUUCUAUCUAUUUAUAUCUGUCUACCUUCAAGAUUUUUUAGGAAAAUGAUAUUUUAAUAGUCCCAAGAGACCAAUCUUUGACCCAAAAGCGUCGAUAUGAAAGAUAAGUGCGUCAGAAAGGCAAUUAGUGUUUCAGAAAGAUUAGAUUUCAUAUUUCAUGGGAAAAAU
Molecule: long non-coding RNA, 243 nt
Filed under: Mytilus galloprovincialis (Mediterranean mussel)
Lineage: Eukaryota; Metazoa; Mollusca; Bivalvia; Mytilida; Mytilidae
Source: RNAcentral